RNAcentral lists this long non-coding RNA (276 nucleotides) under Medicago truncatula (barrel medic). Its description in RNAcentral is "long non-coding RNA (MTRU_LNC002307)". The record is from RNAcentral. Lineage: Eukaryota; Viridiplantae; Streptophyta; Magnoliopsida; Fabales; Fabaceae.
CAGUUAGGAAACUGACUUUUUUGGAAAAGUUAAUUUUGAUUUUAAUGUUUGAUUCAUUUUUAAAUUGUUGAUUACUGAUUAAUGAUCAAUAGUAUAUUCAUCUAGUAAUGCUUGCAACAUCUUGGACUUACAUGUACUAUUUUAUCGUUGGAAUCUUUAACAUGCAAAUAGAGUUGGUGAUAUUAUGUGAUAGUCUUAAGUGUUACACUUUGUAGGGUGUUACGCUUAGAACAAUGUAUGAUAAAAUUAUAUUAAGUGUAGUCUUGUUAACCUGAU